RNAcentral lists this ribosomal RNA (119 nucleotides) under Pteropus alecto (black flying fox). Lineage: Eukaryota; Metazoa; Chordata; Mammalia; Chiroptera; Pteropodidae. The record is from RNAcentral.
AUCUAUGGCCAUGCCACCCUGAACACGCUUGAUCCCGUCUGACCUUGGAAGUUAAGCAGGGUCGGGCCUGGUUGGUACUGGGAUGGGAGACCACCUGGGAAGACCAAGUGCUGUAGGCA